RNAcentral lists this ribosomal RNA (517 nucleotides) under uncultured bacterium. RNAcentral describes it as "bacterial SSU rRNA". It matches the Rfam family "Bacterial small subunit ribosomal RNA", at positions 1 to 518 of the family's 1533-position model. The record is from RNAcentral.
UAGAGUUUGAUCCUGGCUCAGGAUGACCGUUAGAGGCAGGCUUACACAUGCAAGUCGUGGGGCAGCGCGCGUUAGCAAUACUUUGGCGGCGACCGGCAAACGGGUGCGGAACACGUACGCAACCUUCCUCAGAGCGGGGAAUAGCCUCUCGAAAGAGAGAUUAAUACCCCAUAGUAUCUCGAAACUGCAUGGUUUUGAGAUUAAAGCUUCGGCACUUUGAGAUGGGCGUGCGGCUGAUUAGGUAGUUGGUAGGGUAACGGCCUACCAAGCCAACGAUCAGUAGCUGAUGUGAGAGCAUGAUCAGCCACACGGGCACUGAGACACGGGCCCGACUCCUACGGGAGGCAGCAGUGAGGAAUAUUGGUCAAUGGAGGAAACUCUGAACCAGCCAUGCCGCGUGAAGGAUGAAGGUCCUCUGGAUUGUAAACUUCUUUUAUAGAAGAAGAAGCCCCAUUAUUCUUAAUGGGUUGACGGUACUCUAUGAAUAAGCACCGGCUAACUCCGUGCCAGCAGCCGC